UCCCUUGUAGCUCAGUUGGUAAAGAAUCUGCCUUCAGUGCAGGAGACCCGGGUUCGAUCCCUGGGUUGGGAA
This 72-nucleotide transfer RNA is filed under the name Capra hircus (goat). It matches the Rfam family "tRNA". From Rfam's summary of the family: Transfer RNA (tRNA) molecules are approximately 80 nucleotides in length. Their secondary structure includes four short double-helical elements and three loops (D, anti-codon, and T loops). Lineage: Eukaryota; Metazoa; Chordata; Mammalia; Artiodactyla; Bovidae. The record is from Rfam by way of RNAcentral. RNAcentral also lists the same sequence under 2 other names.